RNAcentral lists this ribosomal RNA (497 nucleotides) under uncultured bacterium. Its description in RNAcentral is "partial 16S ribosomal RNA". It matches the Rfam family "Bacterial small subunit ribosomal RNA", at positions 28 to 507 of the family's 1533-position model. The record is from RNAcentral.
GAUGAACGCUGGCGGCGUGCUUAAUACAUGCAAGUCGAGCGAACAGACGAGGAGCUUGCUCCUCUGACGUUAGCGGCGGACGGGUGAGUAACACGUGGAUAACCUCCCUAUAAGACUGGGAUAACUUCGGGAAACCGGAGCUAAUACCGGAUAAUCUAUUGAACCGUAUGGUUCAAUAGUGAAAGACGGUUUUGCUGUCACUUAUAGAUGGAUCCGCGCCGCAUUAGCUAGUUGGUAAGGUAACGGCUUACCAAGGCAACGAUGCGUAGCCGACCUGAGAGGGUGAUCGGCCACACUGGAGCUGAGACACGGUCCAGACUCCUACGGGAGGGAGCAGUAGGGAAUCUUCCGCAAUGGGCGAAAGCCUGACGGAACAACGCCGCGUGAGUGAUGAAGGUCUUCGGAUCGUAAUACUCUGUUAUUAGGGAAGAACAAAUGUGUAAGUAACUAUGCACGUCUUGACGGUAACUAAUCAGAAAGCCACGGCUAACUACGUG